AAUAGACACACACACAAAAAAUCUUCAUUUUAGCUUUAAUUCCAAAACUAGCACGUUUUUAAAAUAUAUGUUUAGAUUGUAUUUCUCUCGACCACAGCGCAGCGACCUAUACUCGGGGCUGCCUUCUCAUCUGUUGGCAAUUUAUUCCAUUUUGCGUGCAGCAUCACCGCUAGAUGCCGCUAUCACCAUGUUUACUUUGCAUACCUCAGAGCCCUUCUGGGUUUCUGUUUAAUUAGCAUUUCCUUAAUGUAUUCAGAACCCCCAUACAGACAAGGAAAGACGAUCAUCAAAUCCAAAAAGGUAAGUAGAGCUGCAGUUAGAUUUGACAGUUGCACAGAUUAGCGUUUGCUGUAAGUGCCCCCUGAAGUGCAAUCUCGACAAGUGCAUUCAUUGUGCAUAUUUCUCCUUCAGUACGGUCAUUUACAUCUCACCAAAAUUCCCAAGGCGCGGAACCUGGUAACCAUGGCAACUACAGAUGAGAAGGAAAGAUUCCCGGAAUGGCUCGAAUUCCUUCACACAGUGGCCUUCUGCCCGCAGCGUCAUAAGGACAUUCGCCUCAAACACAACGGGAGAAGACACAUCAACAAUCCAGCACAUUUGAGGAGGAGUUGCUAUUGUUCCACUCAGCAUUGUGUCUUCUUCAGCUGGGCGGUGUGAGAGAAACAAUUGUGGGCUGUUUGCGUAGAAGGAGAGAUGGCGGGGGGGGGGGGGGGGGGGUGUUGUGAAGUAGGUGACAGGGAUCAGAAAGGCUUUGUCGCGAGGUGAGGACCCCCAAAAUGGCAAGGGGAAUAUUGUCUGUGUGGGUGGGAGCUCGACACUCUCAGAAGGUCGCGAUGCAGUGAAGGCUGUUUGAAAAGAAGUCGCACGAGUCUGCAGUUUUUAUCAGCUGUGUUUGAUUACAAGAGGAAGCCUAGACUAUAAAAACUGUGGACUCUAGAUGACACGAAGUGACGUCUUGCUGUGAAAACAACUGAGACUCAUCGGGGGAUGAUUAGCAGUCAUAAAAUGUAAAUGAGCUGAUGAUUGUGGUCUCUCCAGCUUCCUGUCCGAUGUGCUCUCAUUCGUAGCUCCUGACUCGCGCCCGCGAAAACCACACGCAGUCUCAUCCGCGGUCGCAGAGUCCAUAUGAAUCACAAAGCGUCAGCGUCCAAAUUAGACGCGGCAAAGUCGAGACGAGGCGAGUCGGUUAACGUCUAAUUGACGGAGCGGCGGCAAAUCGCUUAUCACAUCUGCCCGCUGCCAACCGUCUAGGCGGGCCGUGCGAUUAUGUCAGGGUGCGCGGUUGUGAAAGUAAUUGUAAUGAGGGGUGAUGAUGUGGUGGUGGGCCUCAGGAAGCCGCAGUUAUCGUUCUUAGAGGAUAAAAAAUACAUCCCUGCAAGUCUUGUUUUAUUAUCUGUCUGCAUGUGUUGCUCCACCGAUUGUCCAUCCGUGACUUAAAGGGUUAUAGCAUGCAUCACAUGCCAGCUAUCCCGUCUAUGGUGUUUGGCAUUGUUUGUUUGCAUGAAGCGGAACAGUCUUUUUCAACACAGGGCUAAGCAGUGGUUUGUUCAUAUAAUUCUCUUUGUUUUAUGUUGAGUUUGACAUAUAGCGAUAAACUGCGUGAUCCUCUGAA
Long non-coding RNA from Hippocampus zosterae (dwarf seahorse), 1612 nucleotides. RefSeq lists it as uncharacterized. The record is from RefSeq and is a predicted model, not a curated record. NCBI's taxonomy places the organism in Eukaryota, Metazoa, Chordata, Actinopteri, Syngnathiformes, Syngnathidae. The transcript is spliced from 2 exons.